UACAGUGGAGGAGUACAUCAGA
This 22-nucleotide non-coding RNA is filed under the name Arabidopsis thaliana (thale cress). Lineage: Eukaryota; Viridiplantae; Streptophyta; Magnoliopsida; Brassicales; Brassicaceae. The record is from RNAcentral.